AAUAUUGGACAAUGGGCGAAAGCCUGAUCCUGCCAUGCCGCGCGUGUGAAGAAGGUCUNCGGUUUNUNAAGCACUUUUAGUUGGGNGGAAGGGUUGUAGGUUAAUACCCUGCAAUUUUGACGUUACCAACAGAAUAAGCACCGGCUAACUUCGUGCCAGCAGCCGCGGUAAUACGAAGGGUGCAAGCGUUAAUCGGAAUUACUGGGCGUAAAGCGCGCGUAGGUGGUGCGUUAAGUUGGAAGUGAAGGCACAGGGCUCAACCUGGGAACUGCUUUCAAAACUGGCAAGCUAGAGUAUGGCAGAGGGUGGUGGAAUUACCUGUGUAGCGGUGAAAUGCGUAGAUAUAGGAAGGAACAUCAGUGGCGAAGGCGACUACCUGGACUGAUACUGACACUGAGGUGCGAAAGCGUGGGGAGCAAACAGG
This 424-nucleotide ribosomal RNA is filed under the name uncultured bacterium. RNAcentral's name for it is "partial 16S ribosomal RNA". It matches the Rfam family "Bacterial small subunit ribosomal RNA", at positions 360 to 776 of the family's 1533-position model. The record is from RNAcentral.